This 77-nucleotide transfer RNA is filed under the name Candidatus Jordarchaeia archaeon. RNAcentral's name for it is "tRNA-Lys". It matches the Rfam family "tRNA". From Rfam's summary of the family: Transfer RNA (tRNA) molecules are approximately 80 nucleotides in length. Their secondary structure includes four short double-helical elements and three loops (D, anti-codon, and T loops). Lineage: Archaea; Promethearchaeati; Candidatus Jordarchaeia. The record is from RNAcentral.
GGGCUGCUAGCUCAGCUAGGUAGAGCGCCUGGCUUUUAACCAGGUGGUCGCGAGUUCAAAUCUCGCGCAGCCCGCCA